UGAAUUCACCACAGAAAAGACUUGCUGUGACAAAUAAGAAAGAAUUCACCUCAAGAACCUUUGGAUUAUUUAUGCAGCAGCUUGAUCAAGCAGAGAUCCUAAACACGAGGUAAACCUGAACAAUCCUUCCAACAGGCUGAAGGGAACACGGUAUUGGUCCACAAUCAUAAAAGUUUCACCUACUCAUAGAUUUUCCCUUUCUCACAUCCAUUUCUGUCUGGUUUGAAGGCUAGAAGCUCAGAAUCAUUGUAUGUCACUUGUGGAAGUGAAGAGUCCUGCCACCCCAUCAACAGGAUGUUGGGGGUGACUGGAUCGGGUCUGCGAUGUCUGAAGAUGUUUAAUCAAGGGGUUUAGCAUUAAGGAUUCCCUCAAUUUCAAUAAAAACAGUUUGCAGUACUCAUUCAGUGACUGUCUGUGCUCUGAGGGUCACUUGCUGGGCUGUUUUCAGAUAUCAAAUCUCCCACUCCCAACAUCCACCAAAAUGUGGGGCAUUAGGUGGGUUGAACGUAAAGUUUUUGAGGUUGAAGAGCAACAAAGGC
Long non-coding RNA from Cyprinus carpio carpio, 539 nucleotides. Lineage: Eukaryota; Metazoa; Chordata; Actinopteri; Cypriniformes; Cyprinidae. The record is from Ensembl.